RNAcentral lists this ribosomal RNA (408 nucleotides) under uncultured bacterium. RNAcentral's name for it is "partial 16S ribosomal RNA". It matches the Rfam family "Bacterial small subunit ribosomal RNA", at positions 28 to 526 of the family's 1533-position model. The record is from RNAcentral.
GACGAACGCUGGCGGCGUGCUUAACACAUGCAAGUCGAACGAAGUGGCGAACGGGUGAGUAACGCGUCAUCAACCUGCCCUUCAGAGGGGGACAACAGUUGGAAACGACUGCUAAUACCGCAUACUGAUGGAGCGGAUUGCGUCGGAUUAGCUAGUUGGAGGGGUAAUGGCCCACCAAGGCGAUGAUCAGUAGCCGGUCUGGGAGGAAGAACGGCCCAAUUGGGACUGAGACACGGCCCAGACCCCUACUGGAGGCAGCAGUGGGGAAUCUUCCGCAAUGGAGGAAAGUCUGACGGAGCAACGCCGCGUGAGUGAUGACGGCCUUCGGGUUGUAAAGCUCUGUUAAGCGGGACGCGGUACCGGAAUAGAAAGCCACGGCUAACUACGUGCCAGCCGCCGCGGUAAUUC